GGAAUUUUGGACAAUGGGGGCAACCCUGAUCCAGCCAUGCCGCGUGCGGGAAGAAGGCCUUCGGGUUGUAAACCGCUUUUGUCGGGGAAGAAACGCUCUGGGUUAAUACCCUGGGGUAAUGACGGUACCCGAAGAAUAAGCACCGGCUAACUACGUGCCAGCAGCCGCGGUAAUACGUAGGGUGCGAGCGUUAAUCGGAAUUACUGGGCGUAAAGCGUGCGCAGGCGGUUUUGUAAGCCAGAUGUGAAAUCCCCGGGCUUAACCUGGGAAUGGCAUUUGGGACUGCAAGGCUUGAGUGCGGCAGAGGAGACUGGAAUUCCCGGUGUAGCAGUGAAAUGCGUAGAUAUCUGGAGGAACACCGGUGGCGAAGGCGGCAUCCUGGACCGGUAUUGACGCUGAGGCGCGAAAGCUAGGGGAGCAAAC
Molecule: ribosomal RNA, 423 nt
Filed under: uncultured bacterium
Lineage: Bacteria
Description: bacterial SSU rRNA
Rfam family: Bacterial small subunit ribosomal RNA
Source: RNAcentral